Molecule: ribosomal RNA, 250 nt
Filed under: uncultured bacterium
Lineage: Bacteria
Description: partial 16S ribosomal RNA
Rfam family: Bacterial small subunit ribosomal RNA
Source: RNAcentral
CUAUGGUGGCGACCGGCGCACGGGUGCGUAACGCGUACGCAACCUACCUUUAACAGGGGGAUAACACUGAGAAAUUGGUACUAAUUCCCCAUAAUAUUCGGAGAGGCAUCUCUCCGGGUUGAAAACUCCGGUGGUUAUAGAUGGACAUGCGUUGUAUUAGCUAGUUGGUGAGGUAACGGCUCACCAAGGCAACGAUACAUAGGGGGACUGAGAGGUUAACCCCCCACACUGGUACUGAGACACGGACCAG